Molecule: long non-coding RNA, 670 nt
Organism: Gordionus sp. m RMFG-2023
Lineage: Eukaryota; Metazoa; Nematomorpha; Gordioida; Chordodea; Parachordodidae
Exons: 5
Source: RefSeq, a predicted model, not a curated record
GUGAUAUACAAUAUGGCGAAACACAAUAUCCAUAUCAAAUUUGCCAUUGCAAAGUCUAUGACAUCUGGGCUGAAUCAAGGAGAGUUGGCUUCAAAGUUAAAUUUCAAUUAUUUUAUUUUUGAUAAAAUCACAUAUACCAAGAUGCCAUAUCAAUAUCAUGAUGUUUAGAUAUUAGUAAUAAAUAUUUGCUCAACACCAAAGGAAACAAUAUUUAUUAAAAUCUUCAAUUAUUUUAUUUUUGAUGUGUAAACUUUCAUUAGAGCCUAUGACAUCUGGACUGAAUCAAGGAGAGUUGGCUUCAAAAAAUACCAAGUUAUCAAUUCUAAUUCUGAUUUGCCAGACAGGACAACACUAAGCCCGACUGCUAUUAAUAAUGUUUACCUAUCAAUGAAAGCACAUGUACAAUAAGAAAUUAACUCAAAGGCCAAAAUUUUGAUCAAUUACAUUCUAUAUGUGGACAGAUCAAUACAGAAGAAGAAACUAUACAACUCAUUAUAUAACCCCAAAACACACAGGUGAGACUAUUCCAAUUGAGAUUGAUAAAAUAGAAGAGGAAUUUAAUUUAAAAAAGAAAAAAUACAAAUGGUCACUGAUGCUGGGUCUAAUGUUAGAAAGGGUGUUUGAUUAGGUGAAUAUGAACACCGCUUAUGUUUGGGUCAUGGUUUACACA